GGUUAAGACACCGCCCUUUCACGGCGGUAACACGGGUUCGAAUCCCGUACGGGUCA
Molecule: transfer RNA, 56 nt
Filed under: Bacillus thuringiensis serovar aizawai str. Leapi01
Lineage: Bacteria; Bacillati; Bacillota; Bacilli; Caryophanales; Bacillaceae
Description: tRNA-Ser
Rfam family: tRNA
About the family: Transfer RNA (tRNA) molecules are approximately 80 nucleotides in length.
Source: RNAcentral